Molecule: unclassified non-coding RNA, 301 nt
Organism: Chlorocebus sabaeus (green monkey)
Lineage: Eukaryota; Metazoa; Chordata; Mammalia; Primates; Cercopithecidae
Gene: 7SK
Rfam family: 7SK RNA
About the family: 7SK was discovered as an abundant small nuclear RNA in the mid-70s but a possible function has only recently been suggested.
Source: Ensembl
GGAUGUGAGGGCAAUCUGGCUGCGACAUCUGGCACCCCAUUGAUCGCCAGGGUUGAUUCUGCUCAUCUGGCUGGCUAGGUGGGUGUCCGCUUCCUCCCUCACUGCUCCAUGUGCGUCCCUCCCGAAGCUACCCUCUUGGUCGGAGACGACGCCAUCCCCCAUAAAGAAGGACCGGUCUUUGGUCAAGGGUAUACGAGUAGCUGUACUGCCCUGCUAGAACCUCCAAACAAGCUCUCAAGGUCCAAAAUGCUGGGAUUAUAGGCAUGAGCCACCGCGCCCGGCCAAAAUUAACUUCAUUUUU